Long non-coding RNA from Meriones unguiculatus (Mongolian gerbil), 4077 nucleotides. RefSeq lists it as uncharacterized. The transcript is spliced from 2 exons. The record is from RefSeq and is a predicted model, not a curated record. NCBI's taxonomy places the organism in Eukaryota, Metazoa, Chordata, Mammalia, Rodentia, Muridae.
CCCCCCCCCGUCUGCCCUUUUCUGCCUGUGCCUGGACCUGCCAGUGUCCGCCUCCGCACGCAGUAACCACCUGUUGCCACCAGGAGGCACCAUACGCCACCCUCAGCCUUCUGCUGGUGCAGACCAGCCUCCCUCUUCCACUUUGGGCUCAGCCUAGCUACUGUCCUGGGUGCCAGUCAUCUUGGCACUACUUCUUAGUGGUCGUUGCUGAGUGAAGUGAGAGGAGUUGCCUGGCAAUCCCAGAGGAGGACUAGCCCCAGGAGCCCACACCAAACCUCUUGAACUUCUUGGUUCUAUCCCCAUCAGAUUCCAGGGUUCAGCCUUGUUCUUGGGGCUGGAGCAAAGCAGGGCUCCUGGCCACUCCGGGGAAGCUCUGGAUUGUGGCCUAAGGCUAUGCCUGUUACUCUGACAGGGUCCGGGAGCAUCCCACCCUCGAAGGCUGAGUCUUAGGCUCUCUGGAGGCUGAUCCCACCAUUUUCAGAGAAUGGCUUUUAGGAUGUCCCGGCCUUAUGGUAGGACAAUGCUGUGGCAUCCAGAAGAUGCCAUUUCCCUCAUCCUUGUUCACAAGGGAGCCACCCCACUCCUCCCCCUUAGUAGCACAGCCAGGAAGCGGGUGGGCCUGCGGGAAGGCUGAGGAUCAAGCUAGGAACCGGAGAUGCCUCACCUUGCUAGACAUCCCUGGUGACCUCUCAAGCUAGCUGUGGUUUUCUCCCCUUUUUUGGCUCCCAUUGUAGAUCUGAAUACUGAACAGAAAAGUCUUGUCCCCAUUGCCCUUCCCCUAAGUUGGCUGCCUGGGGUUAGCUAGGGCCAACAGACUAGGCAAGAAGUCAGGCCAAUGAAGCCUGAGGAGAAGAUAAGCCUAUGGGCGGCCAGGGUCUAGUACCGCUGAGUAGCUGAAGGCCCAGCCUGCCACUCCCUGGACCCACCCCACCAGCUGGGGCACAGUCCAGGUCUACUGCCCUUCGGACCCCACUGUGAUCAGUAUUGAUGGCAGUGGGCUAAUCAUUAACGCUACCAGGGCUGGGCCAACGGCUCAAAAGGCUCAGCCCAGGGUGGCCCCACUUCCUCCUUGUGCCCUGAAGGCCAGCUAGGUCUGAGGUAAGAGCUCCCAGACUGUCCUCCCUCAAGGCUGCUGAAGGCUCCCAAGUCCAAGCCUUCCUGCAGAGCCAUCAGCCCUUUCCAGGAGAAAAGAAAGGCUUCCUUGGAACUCGAAGACACCCUUUUGCCUCUGCCUGAGUGCUGGGAUAUCCAGUGUGGACCAGCACCUGGCCAGCUGAAAAAAAAAAAAAAAAAAAGAAACAAAAAUUCCAAAAUUGGAAACAGACCGGGAAUAAAGUCAAGUUGCUUAACAACAUGAACCAGUCACCGAGUGAUUCCCUCUUUGUGUGCCAAGCACUCACACACCUUACCAGGGUCCGGCUACCUGGUGAGGACACGCGUGAGUCUGUGUGUCAGGAAUGAAGAGGCAGGCUCCGCUCCAGGAAGAUGACCAUUGGGCAAAGAGACGCAGGAUCUCUGAGGACGCAGGUCCCAGCUUUACCCCUCAUGCGUCCUGCACCUAAGCUGCUUUGAGCCCUGGGGUUCCCCUCCACCAGAGCUCAAUGGCAGUUGGGGAGCUUCCCUGGACCCUGCAGGAUCUGCCUCUCCCAGCUCCCAUAUCUGAAUGCUUAUCUUAUCCUUGCCUGGUCUCAGGCUCUAGCGAACAAAGUCCUCAGCUUACUCAUCUUGUGGGGCCGGCUCCACACCUUCUCCGUGGUCGAUGCUUGGAGACAGAUGCCCUGGCUGAACAGAUGGGCACUGCAGUCUGACGCUCUUGGGACCAUCCCUUGCUCCAUCCCGGGUGCUGGCUUAGGAUGAAAGGGGGUGGCAGGAGGGCCCUGGCUAGGGUUUCCUCCAUCUGUCUCUACCAAGCUCAUAAAAGCCUUUAAUGGUUCAGGGAAGUGUUGUCUGACUCAGAGCACACCCAGCUCCCUCCGGUCUGGUGUCUUGACCCCUGUUGACUUGUGACCUUUCCCCUUCAGGCCCUGGACCUAUGAACACCUUUCUUUGCUGGCUCCCUCCCAUUUCUCUCGGGUUCCUCAUUGCUUCUGGGACGCCUGCCCGAGCCUCUGGAAACGUGCCUGAAUCACUUGCCCCACAUGCUUCCCAACAGCAGGUAGCCUGUUGGUGACUGUCAUACCCUAUCACCAGCACCUAUUUCCUUUACAACCUGUGGACCCUUGAGUGGGACCCUCCUUGCAGCCUCAGACACUGACACGCUUGUGUGUUUAGAGAGGUCCCUAGGGAGGGACACUAUGAGGAAGGGUUGUCAUACUGCCGGGGACAGGAGAUCCUUGGAUACCAUUGUUUGUCUUCCCCACCACUGUCAUCGUUGACAUGUAGAACCAAGCUUUCUGGGAACAUGUGUAAAUAACUCACAUUCCCACAGUAAAGAACGGGCAAGUAGGGAAAGGAUUCGGAGGGGAAGAACGUGACCAAGAAAUAUUCCUGUGAGAUGAAUUUGAGUUCAGCUUUUGCUGACACUGUCCAGGAGCACAAACAGAGAAAGGGGAGAAAGCCACUAGGGAGGAGCACCUUGCCCUUCUGUGAGGCUUACUACCUGAAAUCACCACCAGAGGGCGCCCGAGACACAGCUACAAGCCCAGCACAACAUCUCCCCAGGGUCCCUCUUGGCUCCUCUGAGUCCCCAGCCACAAUUUUGUUCCCAUAAUGGGUCGCCACUGUUUAUAUACAGGGAGUGGCAAUGGCUGGGUCUGGCCAAGUUCCCUAGUCUUUCACUGCUGACAGUAUUCCCUUACAUGAAUAAAAAACUUUUUUUUUUUUUCCAUUUUAAGUAUAAAUGAACCUGGCACCUCUCCUCCUUAGGGCUUGGAGCAAUGGGGCCCCAGAAUUCAGUCUCCAUGGUGGGGGGAGGGGAUACCUGGGUUCAGGCCACUUUUUUCUUUCUUUCUUUCCUUUCCUUGACAAUUGUGAAACCUUCCGAAAUGUCGAAAUGUCGCAAGAGCAGAACAAUCAACACCCACAGACCCUUUAUUUGGAUUCACGGACAGCUGGCAUUCUAGGGUAACAUCUGCUUCCCCUCUCUUGCUCUCUCUCUUACACACAUGUUUUUCCUGAACAACUGGAGACCAGCAUACAGGCCAUGACCCUUCUCCAUGAAAUCUUUCAACAUGUAUCUCCUAAGGAAAAAAAAUACCCUUACACAACCAAGUUGCCAAAUGUAGGUCUGCCCACUGAUGCAACCCUGUUCUUCAAGUCACAGUCUGGGAGAGCCCUGGGCAGGCGGGGGCCCUGCUUGGGUUUUCUCCUCAGUGCUCCUAUGUACUUUAAUCUAGAACCACAAGGUUUUUGGUUCUUCAAUACUCUGGUGCCUUUUUUGUUUAUUUGUUUGUCUGGUUGUUUUUUUGUUUGAGACAGGGUUUCUCCCAUAUAGCCCUGGCUGUCCUGGAACUCUCUGUAGACCAGGCUGGCCUCCAAUUCACAGAGACUCGCCUGUCUCUACUGGUAGUGAAAGUGUGUGCCACUACUGCCUGGCUAAUUUUUUAUUUUAUUUUAUUUUUCUUUUUAAAUGUUGUGGGGAUAGAAACCAGAAUGUUUCUUCUUACGAACAAUCUAUUUCCAAGUCCGUCUCUUUGCAGGCAAAGCUGUUUCUUUGCCACUGUGGAAACCAUGUGACCACUGCAUUGCCUGGUCUGUUGGCUGCUGGGUGACCCUCUCUGCUCCUCAAAACUCCACCCUUCUUUCUAGGCUGUCUCCAUCUUCAAAUCAACAAGAAAAAGUACUCCUAUUAAUUUUCCCAUAUUAGGGAUUGAACCUGAGGCUCCUGCAUAUCAGAUGAGCAGUCAGGCCACUUUCUACCUUUUAUUUACUGACUUUUAAUUUUACAAAUAUUUUAUAUGUUUGGGUUUUGCUUGUAUGUCUGUAUAUCAGGCAUGUGUAGAGCUCUAGGAGGCAAGAGGGGGUGCCAGAUACCCUGGGAAAUGGAGUUACAGAUGUUCUUAGUUGCCAUGUGGGCACAGGGAAUAGAAUUCAGCUCCUCUGCAAGAAUAAAUUAGUGCUCUUAACCGGCUCUCCAGA